AUAGUUGGUGUACAGUGUGCUAACCUCUGCUGUAGAGCGGAGUGACUCGGUUACGCAGACGCAUGUUCCCUUUCAUGGUCUCUUCCGUCAUGUUCAUCACAGGACAUUGAAUGUAGCUCCUCGUGCUAAACAGCGGGACCCCCUUGCUUAUCCCUCCUAUAGAUACGAGUUCACAUCUGCUGAUCCCAAACUCCCCAUCCAUCCUUCCCCCACUCCCCUCCCUCUUGGCAAGUCCUUGCUCUGCCUGUGAGUCUGUUUCUGUCUCAUAGAUUAAGUUCUUUUGUGUCGUAUUUUAGAUUCUACAUGUAGGUGAUAUCAAAUGGUAUUUGUCUUUCCCUGUCUGACUUACUCAGAAUGAUAAUCUCUAGGUCCAUCCAUGUUGCUACAAAUGACAUUAUUUCAUUCUUUUUUAUGGCUGAGUAGUAUUCCAUUGUGUAUAUAUACUACAUCUUCUUUAUCCAUUCAUCUUUCAUUGGACACUUAGGCUGCUUCUGUGUAUUGGCUGUUGUACAUAGUGCUGCUGUGAACAUGGGGGUGCAUGUAUCUUUUCAAAUUAUAGUUUUGUCUGAAUAUAUGCCAGGAGUGGGAUUGCUGGAUUAUAUGGCAACUCUGAUGUUUUGUUUUUUUUUUCUUUUUUUGCAUUUACAUUUCUUUUUCUUUUUUUUUCAUUAAAGUAUAGUUGGCUGGAGCAGAUCCUGUGGUGCAGCAGGUUAAGGAUCUGGCAUUGUCACUACAGCAGCUUGGGUUGCUGCUGUGGCAUGGGUUUGAUCCCUAGCCCAGGAGCUUUCACAUGCCAUGGGUGCAGCCAAAACACAGUAUAGUUGAUUUACAGUGUUCUGCCAAUUUCUAUUGUAUAGCGAAGUGACUUAGUUAUACAGAUAUGUACAUUAUUUUUUAAUAUAUCCCUUUCCCAGGAGAUUGGAUAUAGUUCCCUGGCAACUCUACUUGUAGUUUUUUGAGGAAGCUCCCUACUGUUUCCCACAGUGGCUGCACCAACUUACAUUCCCGUCAACAGUGGAAGAGGGUUCCCUUUUCUCUACACUCUUCCCAGCAUUUACUAUUUGUCGACUUUUUAAUGACGGCCAUUCUGACAGGUAUGAAGUGGUACCUCCCUGCAGUUUUGACUUGCAUUUCUCUAACAAUUAGUGAUGUUGAGCAUCUUUUCAUGUGCCUCCUGGCCACCUGUAUCAUGUGUCUGUUUUCUAAUUGUUCACAGUCUCAUCGGUUUAUCACAACUGUGUUUUAACAUUGUGAUGUAUUUUGCCUCUAUUCUUUUCCUUGUGUAUCUGGUUUUUACAUGGGCGUAAUAAUACUUUUAUAUCCUGCUUUUUCUUUUAUUAUUAAGAGUUUUCCUGUAUUGCCAAAUAGUCCUCAUAGGAUACUGUGUGUUCCUAGUGCCUUGGGCUCUCUGGUUCCCAGGACUGAAACCACAAGGAACUGAAGCACAAGGCUCAGAGACCAUGCAGGGAGGAGACGUGAGUGGGGCCCAGACCAUGGAGUAGGCCCGGGAGGAGCACAAGAUUUUUAGCCAUGAGUCACGGGGAGGACGCGUGGGAUACAAAGAUCUGGGUUCUUCUUCCUAUCGGUGUAUCAGAUGAUAAUUAGCCUUCUCUACAUAUCAUCCACAAAACUGCUGAUUUAAAGAGGGUUAGAUGCUGGAAAACUUAGCAAGAAAGGAGAAGAAUAAUCAAAAAACAGGGUUUUUUUGGGGGGGUGGCACUCCUGCGGCAUGUGGAGGUUUCCCAGCCAGGGAUCAAACCUGUGCCAUAGGAGUGACCCAAGCCACUGCAGUGAGAACUCCAAAAAAGCACAUCUUAAUAUAAUUCUGUAGAGAAGCUGCAGUAUGGUAAUUAUGCUUAUCAGUAUAAUCUGGGUCAGAUUAAGUUGGUUAAAAGUUGGGUUUGUUAUUAACAGCAAGUCUUACUCAGUUAGUGGUUCUAGUAACACAGAUACCACUCCAUCAAUCAGCAGACUUUUAUUUCUCCCACCAUAAUGCAAGCUUAGGUAGCAUGACUACUUUGACAUUAAAAAAAAAAAAAUUAAAGGCACUAUUGAUGGAAGGUUUAGAUCAAUAGGUUUUCGAAGAGAGCUGAAUGACUUAGAAGUCAACAAAAAUUAUAAGACAUAUCCUGCGAGCAAAAGAAUUCCUUGACAGUACAGAAUUAAUGGGCUCUCUAGCUUCCAGAGGAGUCCUUUUAUUGCUAAAUAUUCAAAAGAGAGGACCAAGAAAACCCCAAAACAAACUAACAAACAAUACAGCAAAAGAGAGGACAAAAGCUCCUUUGGAAUUGAUAACAUUGCAAGGUACCCUUGGGAGAUUUUCAUACUGUUAAAUUGCAAACUUCUGAACUGGGCAGAUAGAAAGCUUGUGGGGUUCUUUAAAUUAUUAUUACUCAAAUGAAUUUAUCACAUCUGUAGUUGUAUAAUGAUCAUGACAAUCUGAUUUCACAGGAUUUCCAUCCCACAGCCCAAGCACAUCCCCCCACCCCCCUAAACUGUCUCCUCCGGAGACCUAAGUUUUUCAAUGUCUGUGAGUCAGCAUCUGUUCUGCAAAGAAGUUCAGUCUGUCCUUUUUUUCAGAUUCCACAUGUCAGCAAUAGCAUUUGAUGUUGGUGUCUCAUUGUAUGGCUGACUUCACUUAGCAAGAUAGUUUCUAGGUCUAUCCAUGUUGCUAAAAAUGCCGGUAUUUCAUUCUUUUUAAUGGCUGAGUAAUAUUCCAUUGUGUAUAUGUACCACAUCUUCUUGAUUCACUCCUCUUUCAAUGGACAUUUAGGUUGUUUCCAUGUCUUGGCUAUUGCAAAUAGUGCUGCAAUGAACAUCGGAGUGCGUGUGUCUUUGAGAGUCGUGGUUUUCUUUGGAUAGAUGCCCAGGAGUGGGAUUGCUGGAUCCAAUGGUAGUUCUAUGUUUAGUUUUCUGAGGAAUCUCCAUACUGCUUUCCCCAGUGGUUGCAGCAAUUUACAAUCCCACCAACAAUGUACUAGUGUUCCUUUUUCUCCACACCCUCUCUAGCACUUACUGUUUGUAGACUUUUUGAUGAUGGCCAUUCUGGCUGGUGUAAGGUGGUACCUCAUGGCGGUUUUGAUGUGCAUCUCUCUAAUCAUGAGUGACGUUGAGCAUCGCUUCAUGUGUUUCUCGGCCAUCUGUAUGUCUUCUUUGGAGAACUGUCUGUUUAGA
Molecule: long non-coding RNA, 3174 nt
Filed under: Sus scrofa (pig)
Lineage: Eukaryota; Metazoa; Chordata; Mammalia; Artiodactyla; Suidae
Description: lncRNA (ENSSSCG00035073405.1)
Source: RNAcentral